GUAAGGCAAGAGGUUCAAAUCAACUGAGUAAAGAAGUAAAGAAUCAAAGGAGUUAUUAAGGAAAUAAGUUCAAAUUAAGCCAAAGAAGGAACUUCAGAAUAAAAUAAUCAAGGGUAAAAUUAAGGAAAGAAUCAUGUAAAGAAUCAAUAAAUAUACACCAAUCAAAUAAGAUAAGAACGACUAAUUAAGGUCAUAAACACCGAAAUAAUCAAGCAUAGUGCGCACUAAUUUUUUAACACAACAAAUCACUCAAUAAUUCUGAAAAUUAUUAAAAAAAAAACUAAUUUGAAAACACUUAAAGACGGAAAAAAACCAUGAAAAACUUGAAGGCACGUCAACACAAAGAGAUUCGAACAACAAAAAUCAUAGAAACUGAAACCUGAAGUAGUGUAGUGCUUAAAACUGUUUAGUAGUGGAGAAUAAAAGAACCUAAAAGAAUAGCCAUUGAAGUUUGAAAACACUUCAGAUACCUAGAGGUUCGACCAACAAACAAGAAGAAAAAUAAACCCUAAUAUAACAAAAUCUUCAAAAAUUGAUUAAUCAGUAAAUAAAUUAAGGGUCCUUAAGGAAAAAGCUAUGACGAACACAAAUCGUUCCAGAUCUACAAGGAUCUACAAAUGCUAAGUUUUGAAGAAAUAGAAAGGGUAAAGAAAAUAUGGCCUUUGAUUCAAAGAUUUGAGCCAUGAAACUUUUAUAGAAAGCUCUUACAGACCAUAGGCAAACAGAUCAUAGACAGGAUCUUAAAGAGCCACAAAAUCAAGCAACCAUGGGAAAUAGGAGACAAGUAUAUGCCUCGUACAGCCAUGGGAAGCCAUAGAUCGAGUAGGAAUCAAAGGGAUUAGGGGUGAUCUUGGGUGACAGUAGAUAUGGUUAAGUUUGGUCUCAAACAGAAUUAGAGAGGAGAGGGUUUC
RNAcentral lists this long non-coding RNA (911 nucleotides) under Nicotiana benthamiana. RNAcentral describes it as "long non-coding RNA (NBEN_LNC042470)". The record is from RNAcentral. Lineage: Eukaryota; Viridiplantae; Streptophyta; Magnoliopsida; Solanales; Solanaceae.